UCAAGCUUGAGAUUUGCGACU
RNAcentral lists this microRNA (21 nucleotides) under Callorhinchus milii (elephant shark). RNAcentral's name for it is "eshark_mir-99_1". Lineage: Eukaryota; Metazoa; Chordata; Chondrichthyes; Chimaeriformes; Callorhinchidae. The record is from RNAcentral.